RNAcentral lists this long non-coding RNA (814 nucleotides) under Cricetulus griseus (Chinese hamster). RNAcentral describes it as "lncRNA (ENSCGRG00015032560.1)". The record is from RNAcentral. Lineage: Eukaryota; Metazoa; Chordata; Mammalia; Rodentia; Cricetidae.
UGAAAGACCCGCUCGAAAUGCCCCUGAGCCCCCUGCCCCGAAGCUGCCGGAGCCUCCCAAGCCUUCACCCCGGCAGGGCUCGCGCCCCCGGCCCGCCCCGCCUGGCACCACACCUCGGGGCUGGGGCCGAGCAACGAGCACCAGGUGGGCAGGCCCGAGAAUGAGCACCGGGUGGGCCGGCACGAGGGCGAGCACCAGGUAGGCUGGGCCGAGCAACGAGCACCAGGUGGGCAGGCCCGAGAAUGAGCACCGGGUGGGCCGGCACGAGGGCGAGCACCAGGUGGGUCGGCACGAGAACAAACACCGAGUGAGCCGGCCUGGAGCCCUGCCCCUGAGCCCCCGCCCGAAGAGAAACACUCCGUCCCAAGGUCUCCGCCCCCAAGGUCAGCCAUCAGGAAGGGGGGGGGAAUUGAGUCUGCUGUACCAGACACCAGACACCAGACCUUGAGAAUAUGCUGAUCUGGAAUGGCUCUGUGUCUUAUUUGAACCAUCCAAUAGAAAUGAUUCUGUAUUUCGCCUCAUUUGAAAGACUCUAUGUUUCACCUCAUUUGAAUAACUCUGUACUUUGCCUCAUUUGAAUAACCCUGUAUAGCGCCUCAUAUACAUUGACCAAUGGGAAUAGCUCUGUAUAAUGCCUCAUUAGAAUUAUCCAAUAGAAUCCCUACUCCUAGCUUGCGCCUUUUUCCCUAUAUAAGGACCCCUUUCCCUUGGCUCGAGGCGCUUAGCCACACAAAGGCUAAGUGGCCCCGGGUACCCGCGUCUCCAAUAAAGCCUCUUGUUUUUUGCAUCCAGUUCGUGGCCUCGCUGAUUCCUG